CCCGGUCUUCCUAGAGGGCCGGAAAAAGAUGCUGCGCACGCGCCGAGCGGUUCUCGCGGACGCAGAUUUGGAGUGCGCAGAUCCGGUGCGCUUAAGUGGCCGACAUCGAGGAGGCCUUUGCUCUCCCAUGGCUUCCAGUAUCAUCUUCCACAGUGCAUGAUCAACUUAAAAGUAAAAGGAAGUCCAGGAGAUAAACAAAAUUUAGAAGCCAGUGCUUUGAUGAACCCUUGUAGGAGGCACAGGCCUGGAAAGAAUGAACACACCUUUCCAGUCUGACAUGGAAAUGAAAUCAGAGACAGACCAUCUACCAAACUCUUCUCUCUUGUGGAAGCUAAGAGGAAAGUUCUUUGGCCCAGGCCAUGAAUGUUUAAGAGAGAAGUAAGGAAGGCUUGAAUUAAGG
RNAcentral lists this long non-coding RNA (400 nucleotides) under Phascolarctos cinereus (koala). RNAcentral describes it as "lncRNA (ENSPCIG00000035999.1)". The record is from RNAcentral. Lineage: Eukaryota; Metazoa; Chordata; Mammalia; Diprotodontia; Phascolarctidae.